UGGGAAUCUGCCUUUUGGUUCGGAAUAACACGGGGAAACCUGUGCUAAUACCGGAUAAGCCCUUACGGGGAAAGUUUUAAUGCCGAAAGAUGAGCCCGCACUUGAUUAGCUAGUUGGUAAGGUAAAAGCUUACCAAGGCAACGAUCAAUAGCUGUUCUUAGAGGAAGACCAGCCACAUUGGGACUGAGACACGGCCCAGACUCCUACGGGAGGCAGCAGUGGGGAAUCUUGCACAAUGGGGGAAACCCUGAUGCAGCGAUGCCGCGUGAGUGAAGAAGGCCCUUGGGUUGUAAAACUCUUUCGUCGGGGAAGAAAAUGACUGUACCCGAAUAAGAAGGUCCGGCUAACUUCGUGCCAGCAGCCGCGGUAAUACGAAGGGACCUAGCGUAGUUCGGAAUUACUGGGCUUAAAGAGCUCGUAGGUGGUUAAAAAAGUUGAUGGUGAAAUCCCAAGGCUUAACCUUGGAACUGCCAUCAAAACUUUUUAGCUAGAGUGUGAUAGAGGUAAGUGGAAUUUCUAGUGUAGAGGUGAAAUUCGUAGAUAUUAGAAAGAACAUCAAAUGCGAAGGCAACUUACUGGGUCACUACUGACACUGAGGAGCGAAAGCAUGGGUAGCGAAGUGGAUUAGAUACCCUCGUAGUCCAUGCCGUAAACGAUGUGUGCUAGACGUUGGA
This 674-nucleotide ribosomal RNA is filed under the name uncultured bacterium. RNAcentral's name for it is "bacterial SSU rRNA". It matches the Rfam family "Bacterial small subunit ribosomal RNA", at positions 118 to 827 of the family's 1533-position model. The record is from RNAcentral.